This 484-nucleotide ribosomal RNA is filed under the name uncultured bacterium. RNAcentral's name for it is "partial 16S ribosomal RNA". It matches the Rfam family "Bacterial small subunit ribosomal RNA", at positions 899 to 1397 of the family's 1533-position model. The record is from RNAcentral.
ACUCAAAGGAAUUGACGGGGGCCCGCACAAGCAGCGGAGUGUGUGGUUUAAUUCGAUGCAACGCGAAGAACCUUACCUGGGCUUGACAUGGCGCUUACAGCGGGGUAAUGCCCGCGCCGGGCAACCGGGUGCGCCACAGGUGUUGCAUGGCUGUCGUCAGCUCGUGCCGUGAGGUGUUGGGUUAAGUCCCCUAACGAGCGCAACCCCCGGGGUCCGUUGAACGUUUCGGGCCCGACUGCCCUGCAAACAGGGAGGAAGGUGGGGAUGACGUCAAGUCAGCACGGCCCUGACGUCCAGGGCGACACACACACUACAAUGGCCGGGACAAUGGGACGCCAAGUCGCGAGACGGAGCCAAUCCCCUCAAACCCGGUCUCAGUUCGGAUUGCAGGCUGCAACUCGCCUGCAUGAAGUCGGAGUUGCUAGUAACCGUGGGUCAGCAUACCACGGUGAAUACGUUCCCGGGCCUUGUACACACCGCCCGU